GACAGAGGGUGCAAACGUUGUUCGGAAUUACUGGGCGUAAAGCGCGUGUAGGCUGCUCUGCAAGUCGGAUGUGAAAGCCCCGGGCUCAACCUGGGAAGUGCACUCGAAACUGCUUGGCUUGAGUACUGGAGAGGGAAGCGGAAUUCUCGGUGUAGAGGUGAAAUGCGUAGAGAUGGGGGAGAACACUCGUGGCGAAGGCGGCCAGCUAGACCAGUUCUGACACUGAGACGCGACAGCGUGGGGAGCAAACAGG
RNAcentral lists this ribosomal RNA (253 nucleotides) under uncultured bacterium. RNAcentral's name for it is "partial 16S ribosomal RNA". It matches the Rfam family "Bacterial small subunit ribosomal RNA", at positions 524 to 776 of the family's 1533-position model. The record is from RNAcentral.